UACGUAGGGUGCAAGCGUUGUCCGGAAUUAUUGGGCGUAAAGAGCUCGUAGGCGGUCUGUCGCGUCUGCUGUGAAAACUCAGGGCUUAACCCUGAGCUUGCAGUGGGUACGGGCAGACUAGAGUGCGGUAGGGGAGACUGGAAUUCUCGGUGUAGCGGUGAAAUGCGUAGAUAUCGAGAGGAACACCUGCGGCGAAGGCGGGUAGCUGGGCCGACACUGACGCUGAGGCGCGAAAGCCAGGGGAGCGAACGGG
RNAcentral lists this ribosomal RNA (253 nucleotides) under uncultured bacterium. Its description in RNAcentral is "partial 16S ribosomal RNA". It matches the Rfam family "Bacterial small subunit ribosomal RNA", at positions 524 to 776 of the family's 1533-position model. The record is from RNAcentral.